GGUCCGGUAGUUCAGUUGGUUAGAAAAAAAAAAGCCUGCCUGUCACGCAGGAGGUCGCGAGUUCGAGUCUCGUCCGGACCG
Molecule: transfer RNA, 81 nt
Filed under: Bacteroidota bacterium
Lineage: Bacteria; Pseudomonadati; Bacteroidota
Description: Bacteroidetes bacterium (activated sludge metagenome) tRNA-Asp
Rfam family: tRNA
About the family: Transfer RNA (tRNA) molecules are approximately 80 nucleotides in length.
Source: RNAcentral